RNAcentral lists this long non-coding RNA (1281 nucleotides) under Salmo salar (Atlantic salmon). Its description in RNAcentral is "lncRNA (ENSSSAG00000095199.1, ENSSSAG00000104981.1)". The record is from RNAcentral. Lineage: Eukaryota; Metazoa; Chordata; Actinopteri; Salmoniformes; Salmonidae.
CGAGUGUUGAUUUCACCUUUCAAUUUGUGUCCAAUUAAGACCUAUACAACCAGGCUAUAUAGGCUAUUCAUCAAAGUAGCCUAUUUUGCAUUGAUAACCAAAUAAUCUCAGCGACUGUUCAAGCAUACCAUCGUCAAGAAUCCACCCAAAAAGGUGUGAUCUCAGAAUGCCAGGAGGAAAGGUCCCAACUGAAAAAUAAAAAAAGGCCAUGAAGGUUCUACAUACCAAACUCUAUAGUAUGAGGCUGGAAGAAGAGACCAGUAAGCGAUAUACUGCACGGAAAGUCCAGGUAGAUCUGAGAAAAUCAGGAACGACAACUUUCCCCAGGAACCGAAUCACAGAUCAUUGGAUUGGAAAAACGGUGCAUGAUGUCCGAGAGCUCCUUGAGGAAAUUAAUCUGGCACUACAGGAGCUCCCUAAGCAGGAGAGUCAUUGACAUUCUUGGAGAAAAUGACUCUGAUCAAUAAUAGCCCAGUGUAUUUGUUUGCCCAACUCACAUACUUAGAGCCCACUUAACACAUUCCGCUCACGAGUGUGAAAUUCCAGUCCACAAACUGCUUUUGUUGCUCAUUUUGCAGUAAAACUUCAAAAUAUGUCAGUAUAGAACUUUUCUCAAAUCCUUUCAUUUGAGAACCGAAAGUCUUGCCCAAGAAAUUACAUUUGUGUGUGACAUGACAGGUACAGUAGAUUCGGAAAGAAUUCAGACCCCUUGACUUUUUCCACAUUUUGUUACCUAACAGCCUUAAAAUAAAAUGGAUGAAAUAAUUUUUCCCCCUCAUUAAUCUAACCACAAAACCCCAAGCGAAAACAGGUUUUUAGACAUUUUUGCAACUUUAUUAAAAAUAAAAAACAAAUACCUUAUCUACAUAAGCAUUCAGACCCCUUGCUAUUAGACUCGAAAUUGAGUUCAGGUGCAUCCUGUUUCCAUUGACCAUCCUUGAGCUUUUUCUACAACUUGAUUGGAGUCCACCCGUGGUAAAAUCAAUUGAUUGGACAUAAUUUGGAAAGGCACACACCUGUCUAUAUAACGUCCCACAGUUGAAAGUGCAUGUCAGAGCAAAAACCAAGCCAUGAGGUCGAAGUAAAUGUCCGUAGAGCUCCAAAGCAGGAUUGUGUCGAGGGACAGAUCUGGGGAAGGGUACCAAAAAAUGUCUUCAGGGUACCAAAAAAGGUCCCCAAGAACACAGUGGUCUCCAUCAUUCUUAAUGGAAGAAGUUUGGAACCACCAAGACUCUUCCUAGAUCUGGCAGCCUGGCCGAACUGAGCAAUCGGGGAAGAAGG